CCCAUUACAAAGCCCGACACACCUUCGCUUCUAAAAAUAUCUUUUGGUCUUCCUAUAAAUUUGUAGCUAAGGAGAGAAAAUUCAUCUGUCUCUCUACGCUUGAUUGAGCUCAGUCUAACAAAAGAGACCUGGUGACAAUGAAGGUGGCUGUGCUGCUCCUUGCCUUGUGUGUGGCCGCCAUGGCUCAGCAUCGCCCCCCAGAGGACACUACACCCGCUCUUUCCAUAACUGUUGACGAGCUGAUCUGGCUGGAGGUGGGGAACAUUGUCAGGGCCGACUCUCGCAUCAGUGUCAGCGAAUGCAAGACAAGCUGUGAUGCUCACUUUCUCUCUCAGCGAUGUUCUGGAUGAGUCCAUUACAGACCGCCUGUGUCAACAGGAGUGUGAGCUGGCUGUGUCUGGUCAUGAAGACCACUUCAGACCUCCAGGAGAACGUGGUGACAGGCCAGGCAGAAAAUGAACGAUGUAUUUUGUACAACUGAUAAAGAAUUGUGUAUAUUACAAGUGUGUACUGUACAUAAGAAUUAA
Molecule: long non-coding RNA, 527 nt
Organism: Pomacea canaliculata
Lineage: Eukaryota; Metazoa; Mollusca; Gastropoda; Architaenioglossa; Ampullariidae
Exons: 4
Source: RefSeq, a predicted model, not a curated record